RNAcentral lists this RNase P RNA (292 nucleotides) under Nocardioidaceae bacterium. RNAcentral describes it as "partial RNase P RNA component class A". It matches the Rfam family "Bacterial RNase P class A", at positions 139 to 367 of the family's 367-position model. Rfam says of the family: Ribonuclease P (RNase P) is a ubiquitous endoribonuclease, found in archaea, bacteria and eukarya as well as chloroplasts and mitochondria. Its best characterised activity is the generation of mature 5'-ends of tRNAs by cleaving the 5'-leader elements of precursor-tRNAs. Lineage: Bacteria; Bacillati; Actinomycetota; Actinomycetes; Propionibacteriales; Nocardioidaceae. The record is from RNAcentral.
GGAGUGCGGGUAAGGGUGAAACGGUGGUGUAAGAGACCACCAGCAUCUCGGGCGACCGAGAUGGCUGGGUAAACCCCACCUGGAGCAAGACCAAGAAGGACACGCUGGCCACGGCCGGCAUGUCCGCGCAGACGCCGAGUGUCGCCAGCGACGCUCGAGAGGCGGCCCGCCUGAGUCUGCGGGUAGGUCGCAUGAGCGCAUCGGCAACGAUGCGCCUAGAUGGAUGGCUGCCGGGAGCAGGUCCGAGAGGACCCGCUCACCACAGAAUCCGGCCUACAGGUCGGCUCGCCCG